This 460-nucleotide ribosomal RNA is filed under the name uncultured bacterium. RNAcentral describes it as "partial 16S ribosomal RNA". It matches the Rfam family "Bacterial small subunit ribosomal RNA", at positions 338 to 795 of the family's 1533-position model. The record is from RNAcentral.
CCUACGGGGGACUGCAGUGAGGAAUAUUGGUCAAUGGACGAGAGUCUGAACCAGCCAAGUAGCGUGAAGGAUGACUGCCCUAUGGGUUGUAAACUUCUUUUAUAUGGGAAUAAAACGUUCCACGUGUGGGAUUUUGUAUGUACCAUAUGAAUAAGGAUCGGCUAACUCCGUGCCAGCAGCCGCGGUAAUACGGAGGAUCCGAGCGUUAUCCGGAUUUAUUGGGUUUAAAGGGAGCGUAGGUGGAUUGUUAAGUCAGUUGUGAAAGUUUGCGGCUCAACCGUAAAAUUGCAGUUGAAACUGGCAGUCUUGAGUACAGUAGAGGUGGGCGGAAUUCGUGGUGUAGCGGUGAAAUGCUUAGAUAUCACGAAGAACUCCGAUUGCGAAGGCAGUUCACUGGACUGCAACUGACACUGAGGCUCGAAAGUGUGGGUAUCAAACAGGAUUAGAUACCCUAGUAGUC